Anthonomus grandis grandis is the source of this 995-nucleotide long non-coding RNA. RefSeq lists it as uncharacterized. The transcript is spliced from 3 exons. NCBI's taxonomy places the organism in Eukaryota, Metazoa, Arthropoda, Insecta, Coleoptera, Curculionidae. The record is from RefSeq and is a predicted model, not a curated record.
UGUAUAAAGGCUCUUUCUUUGCUAAAUUUGUACUAUAUGUUUGUAAUUAAAAAAUGCUUUGUCUUCUAGUAUUAAUGUAGGGCACAACAAAGUGUAGAGCUGCUACAAAUUCCGGGCAGUUAAUUGACCAUUACAUAAUUUGAAAAGAAAAGCAAAUCUGUACAAAUGGUUUUCUGAUUGAAGGAAAGCAUACUAAAUCUACUGAAUUCAAGUCUAACAAUAUGAACAGUAUAGUUUGGAUACCAGAAUAGAGAGCCGCAUAAAGUAAUCGCGAUUUUAUUAGAGAAUUGAAUAAGAUGAUUCUACUUGAUAUAUUAUUGAAAUUUCUGAUGUAGCUCUUAUAAUAAAACCAAGAGAGUUUGAAGAUGACUGUAUGAUAUUAUCGAUAUGACCAGUGACACCCAAAUCACGAACAUAAUAGUUAGAAAUAAUUGUACCAUUUAAUGUAUAAUCAAAGGAGAAGCAAACAUUCAUCCCAACUAGUUACAAUGCGAAGACUAUUGCUUAAAAUGUUAACAGAUAUGUCGUUGAUAAAAAUGGAAAAAAAAAUGGAGCAAGAUUGUUACCCUGAGGAGCACCGCUAUAUGCUUUAUAAGCAUAUGAACUAAGCCCAUUAUACUCUACAAACUGGUAUCCAUCUGCCGGAUAGGAAGCAAAAAAUUGUACAAGAUUAAAAUGAAAACCAAACCUGAUAAGUUUCUGAGCCAGAAGUCCAUGGUCCAUCUUAUCAAAGGCUUUGGCGAAGUUUGUGUAAAUUAUGUCUAGUUGACAUUUAUUAUUUAUAGCCUCAUAUGUAGUCUGAAGAAAUGAUGAUACUGUAGAUCUGGAUUGAAAGAAACCAUGCUGCAUUGGUAAAAUUAAAUCUUUUACUUGGUAAAAGAGGCUAUCAAAUAGGUAAAUUUUAAAGACUUAAAGAGAAGUUUAAUAGUAUAGAAAUUGGACGAUAGUUUUCCACCACAUUUUUUCUCCCGAUUUAAAGAUGGGACAUAUUUUGG